AUGGGCCGCGCAGCCGCCGUCUCCGAGGAGGACGCUGGCGGCGUGAUCACCCCGUACACGCGGCGGAUGUACGUUGCCAGGCCGUGCCGGCAGCACGGGCACGUCGUCGCCCUGCAGAACCACUGUAGGAUGCAGCUUUCGUGGAAGGAGUGCAAGCAGCCGGGCAAUCUCUUGACGGAUCCACGGUUGUUGGCCACCAGCUCCUCCAUGCAGAUCGGGCACUGCUCCACGGCCGCGUCGUCGCCGCCGUCGUCAGGAGCUUGCGCCUGUGCCAUCUGGGGGCCCUGGUACGACGGUGUCGUCGGCGACGAUGUCUUCGGCGUUCCUCUCGUCUUCCUUGUUCCCGUAGCCGCCGUCGCUUGUGACGAUGGGCUUGUGAAGAAAACUGUCAUCUUUUGA
RNAcentral lists this ribosomal RNA (399 nucleotides) under Triticum aestivum (bread wheat). RNAcentral's name for it is "partial small subunit ribosomal RNA". Lineage: Eukaryota; Viridiplantae; Streptophyta; Magnoliopsida; Poales; Poaceae. The record is from RNAcentral.